RNAcentral lists this ribosomal RNA (377 nucleotides) under uncultured bacterium. Its description in RNAcentral is "bacterial SSU rRNA". It matches the Rfam family "Bacterial small subunit ribosomal RNA", at positions 521 to 896 of the family's 1533-position model. The record is from RNAcentral.
UAAGACAGAGGUGCCAAGCGUUAGGCGGAAUCACUGGGCUUAAAGCGUGUGUAGGUGGAUGUCUAAGUGCCUUGUGAAAUCCCACGGCUCACCCGUGGAACUGCUGGGCAUACUGGAUGUCUUGAGCCACUUAGGGGUCGCUGGAACAAACGGUGGAGCGGUGAAAUGCGUAGAUAUCGUUUGGAACGCCAAUGGUGAAAACAGGCGACUGGGAGUGUGCUGACACUGAGACACGAAAGCCAGGGGAGCGAACGGGAUUAGAUACCCCGGUAGUCCUGGCCCUAAACGAUGUCCACUAGAUUAUGGUCUCUCUGACGGGAUCAUGGUCGAAGUAAAAAUGUUAAGUGGACCGCCUGGGAAGUACGGUCGCAAGGCUA